This 405-nucleotide ribosomal RNA is filed under the name uncultured bacterium. RNAcentral describes it as "bacterial SSU rRNA". It matches the Rfam family "Bacterial small subunit ribosomal RNA", at positions 370 to 772 of the family's 1533-position model. The record is from RNAcentral.
AAUGGGCGGAAGCCUGAACCAGCCAUGCCGCGUGAAGGACGAAGGCGUUCUGCGUUGUAAACUUCUUUUAUAAGGGAAGAAACCUACGAUUUCUAUUGUAGCCGACGGUACCUUAUGAAUAAGCACCGGCUAACUCCGUGCCAGCAGCCGCGGUAAUACGGAGGGUGCAAGCGUUAUCCGGAUUUACUGGGUUUAAAGGGUGUGUAGGCGGGCUUGUAAGUCAGGGGUGAAAUCCUACAGCUUAACUGUAGAACUGCCUUUGAUACUAUAAGUCUUGAAUAUUGUUGAGGUAGGCGGAAUACAUCAUGUAGCGGUGAAAUGCUUAGAUAUGAUGUAGAACACCGAUUGCGAAGGCAGCUUACUAAGCAAAUAUUGACGCUGAGGCACGAAAGCGUGGGGAUCAAA